This 319-nucleotide ribosomal RNA is filed under the name uncultured eukaryote. RNAcentral's name for it is "partial 18S ribosomal RNA". It matches the Rfam family "Eukaryotic small subunit ribosomal RNA", at positions 1470 to 1796 of the family's 1831-position model. The record is from RNAcentral.
CCCUUAGAUGUUCUGGGCAGCACGCGCGCUACAAUGGUCUUCGCAAACGGAUGCAUUCUCGAAGGAGAAUGCCAAUCUUGGAAUCUAUGCCUUGGUCGGGACAGUUGCUUGCAAUUUUUCGACUCGAACCAGGAAUUCCUUGUAAUCGUGAUUCAUCACAUCACGAUGAAUACGUCCCUGCCCUUUGUACACACCGCCCGUCGCUCCUACCGAUCGAAGAGUUAGGUGAAUUGUUUUGAUCGAUAAGAUUUGACUAUGGUCAACUAUCGUUGUGAAAUUCUGUGAAUCUGACUGUUUAGAGGAAGGAAAAGUCGUAACA